RNAcentral lists this ribosomal RNA (800 nucleotides) under Halomonas sp. RNAcentral describes it as "bacterial SSU rRNA". It matches the Rfam family "Bacterial small subunit ribosomal RNA", at positions 51 to 848 of the family's 1533-position model. Lineage: Bacteria; Pseudomonadati; Pseudomonadota; Gammaproteobacteria; Oceanospirillales; Halomonadaceae. The record is from RNAcentral.
ACACAUGCAAGUCGAGCGGUAACAGAUCCAGCUUGCUGGAUGCUGACGAGCGGCGGACGGGUGAGUAAUGCAUAGGAAUCUGCCCGGUAGUGGGGGAUAACCUGGGGAAACCCAGGCUAAUACCGCAUACGUCCUACGGGAGAAAGGGGGCUUCGGCUCCCGCUAUCGGAUGAGCCUAUGUCGGAUUAGCUAGUUGGUGAGGUAACGGCUCACCAAGGCCACGAUCCGUAGCUGGUCUGAGAGGAUGAUCAGCCACAUCGGGACUGAGACACGGCCCGAACUCCUACGGGAGGCAGCAGUGGGGAAUAUUGGACAAUGGGGGGAACCCUGAUCCAGCCAUGCCGCGUGUGUGAAGAAGGCCCUCGGGUUGUAAAGCACUUUCAGCGAGGAAGAACGCCUAGCGGUUAAUACCCGCUAGGAAAGACAUCACUCGCAGAAGAAGCACCGGCUAACUCCGUGCCAGCAGCCGCGGUAAUACGGAGGGUGCAAGCGUUAAUCGGAAUUACUGGGCGUAAAGCGCGCGUAGGUGGCUUGAUAAGCCGGUUGUGAAAGCCCCGGGCUCAACCUGGGAACGGCAUCCGGAACUGUCAAGCUAGAGUGCAGGAGAGGAAGGUAGAAUUCCCGGUGUAGCGGUGAAAUGCGUAGAGAUCGGGAGGAAUACCAGUGGCGAAGGCGGCCUUCUGGACUGACACUGACACUGACGUGCGAAAGCGUGGGUAGCAAACAGGAUUAGAUACCCUGGUAGUCCACGCCGUAAACGAUGUCGACCAGCCGUUGGGUGCCUAGCGCACUUUGUGGCG